RNAcentral lists this ribosomal RNA (419 nucleotides) under uncultured bacterium. RNAcentral describes it as "bacterial SSU rRNA". It matches the Rfam family "Bacterial small subunit ribosomal RNA", at positions 94 to 526 of the family's 1533-position model. The record is from RNAcentral.
AGUGGCGGACGGGUGAGUAACGCGUGGGUAAUCUACCCGUGAGAGGGGGAUAACACCGUGAAAACGGUGCUAAUACCGCAUAACAUCGUCGACUCUCACGAGAAGGCGGUCAAAGGAGCAAUCUGCUCACGGAUGAGCCCGCGUCUGAUUAGCUAGUUGGCAGGGUAACGGCCUACCAAGGCAACGAUCAGUAGCCGGCCUGAGAGGGUGACCGGCCACACUGGAACUGAGACACGGUCCAGACUCCUACGGGAGGCAGCAGUGGGGAAUCUUCCGCAAUGGGCGAAAGCCUGACGGAGCAACGCCGCGUGAGUGAGGAAGGCCUUCGGGUUGUAAAACUCUGUCAUCAGGGAAGAAACAAAUGACGGUACCUGAGGAGGAAGCCACGGCUAACUACGUGCCAGCAGCCGCGGUAAUAC